CCGUGCACUAAAUCUAAUCUAUAACUGUCUAAGCCUGAAUCUUAUGACACAAAAUAUGCAUGCAUAAUCUAAAAAUAAUAUGAGAAAUAUUAAUUAGAUCUAAUCUAAAAUAUGAUAGAGAUUAGAUCUCUAUACCUGAGCAUGGGUCGAAGAUCUUUGCAGUUGAAGACUGAGGGGUUGUAUGUUGCUCCUAGCUGCAUAUGCAUCCGACCUCUACAAGUAUCCACAUGAAGUACGAGC
RNAcentral lists this long non-coding RNA (240 nucleotides) under Elaeis guineensis (African oil palm). RNAcentral's name for it is "long non-coding RNA (EGUI_LNC059867)". Lineage: Eukaryota; Viridiplantae; Streptophyta; Magnoliopsida; Arecales; Arecaceae. The record is from RNAcentral.